This 1247-nucleotide long non-coding RNA is filed under the name Heterocephalus glaber (naked mole-rat). RNAcentral describes it as "lncRNA (ENSHGLG00100039701.1)". The record is from RNAcentral. Lineage: Eukaryota; Metazoa; Chordata; Mammalia; Rodentia; Bathyergidae.
GAAUUAAUAGCCCCAUGGGGCAGCCCUUGCCUGGUGCUAGACGACAGACAACGGCUCCUUCUGUCUUUGGCCAGGAUGAUUUGAGGACUAGCUUGUCACUGGAGCCCUGUGCCUGAAGAGGGCAUGUGGAAGGGCUGAAAAUGCCUUUCCCAUCAUUUGUCUCCAGGGAACUUUGCUCUUAAAGGAAGACUAAAGACCAUGGAAACUUCUCUUUGACUUAACAAGGAUUUUCAGCAUCUCUGAUUUGCACACAGCCUGCAUUUGGUGUUGCUGGAGUGGGACAGAAAGAGCACAAAUGAAACCCCAGGUUCUGCCUUCAAGGCACUGCCAAGCUAGAAGAAGAGGUUAAUCUGCUCUGAGGCACUCUGGAGAUUUUUCAGUCCUGAAGAAUUUUUCUUUCAUCUGACAACUGAUCAACCUUGGGAUUCCAAAGAUGUCAGGACUUGAGCCUGAGAAGAUGUAGCACAGGGUCUCAGGGCUGGACUUCAGUAGAUACAGAUCUGCCCCAAACAGCGAUCUGUUCAUAGACAUCUACAAGCUAAAAGUCAGUCACCUCCAUGGACUGUCCAGCCCCAUCUUUGCUGUCCAGAUCUUCGGGGCUGCUAUGACUCUGAAAUGAGGCCGUGAUGCGAUCUGCAUAGGUUAAGAGGGUCCAGCUCUCUGGCUACGGUGACUUGAGUGUUAUGAUGUGGAUCUGGAGUGCUCCCCAUGUCACUUGUGCUAAAGGGUUGGUUGCCAGACUGCGGCAUUAUUGGGAGAUGGUGGGAAUACAGGACAGAGCAUCUAACUGGGAGGAAGUUAAAUUACAGGCGGUAAGCACUUGAAGUAAUAUUGGAACUCCAUCCCUUCUCUCUCUUUCCUCCUGGAUGCCAUGAGGUAAGCAGCUUUGUUCUACCAUCUCCCACCUAUCAGGGUGUCCUGCCUCAACACCAGCCCCAAAGCAAUGGAGCCAACUGGCCAUACAUGGAAAUCUCUGAACACAUGAGCCCAAGCAAAUAGUUCUUUUUUAUUUUGUUAAUCUCAAACAUUUUGCCAUGGUGAUUAAAAGCUGACUAGUGCAAUAAUCCUUGCUGAUUAUGUCAUUAAGGGGGGAAGUCACUUGAAUAACCCUCAAUGGUCACUAUCCAUACUGGGUCCAGUGUAAGGCUCAAUGUGUCUCCAGGGAAAAUUUCUGUGAGAUGUGAAAUAAACACUCAAGAUCCUCUUCUCAGUCUCCAGUCCUCUUUGGUGAGUGGCUUUGUACUACU